Molecule: ribosomal RNA, 208 nt
Filed under: uncultured bacterium
Lineage: Bacteria
Description: partial 16S ribosomal RNA
Rfam family: Bacterial small subunit ribosomal RNA
Source: RNAcentral
UCGGAUUGUAGUCUGNAACCCGACUACAUGAAGCCGGAAUCGCUAGUAAUCGCAGGUCAGCAUACUGCGGUGAAUACGUUCCCGGGUCUUGUACACACCGCCCGUCACACCAUGGGAGCCGGAAAUGCCCGAAGCCAGUGACCCAACCUUAGGGAGGGAGCUGUCGAAGGUGGAGCCGGUAACUGGGGUGAAGUCGUAACAAGGUACC